This 924-nucleotide non-coding RNA is filed under the name Trichomonas vaginalis G3. RNAcentral describes it as "Eukaryotic large subunit ribosomal RNA". It matches the Rfam family "Eukaryotic large subunit ribosomal RNA", at positions 2206 to 3197 of the family's 3401-position model. Lineage: Eukaryota; Parabasalia; Trichomonadida; Trichomonadidae. The record is from Rfam by way of RNAcentral.
UGCUGUGUCUGUUAAUAUGGUUCAAGCCAACGAAGCACCGGUAAAUAGCUGCGGGUAACUAUGACUCUUAUCAAAGUAGCGAAAUACCUCGUCACUUAAUUAGUGACCUGCAUGAACGGAGCUAUGAGGUUCUCACUGUCCCAAACUGUCUCUCAGCGAACCAACUGUAGUGGGAACGGUCACUAGAUAUCCAGCGGGGAAAGAAGACCCUGUAGAGCUUCACUUUGGUCUAGUCUUGUAUAGUUCCUGCGGGGGUGUAGACUAGGUGGGAGAGCAAUCGAUUCUGAAAAACCACUACCCUGUUUGGAAUUAUGCUUACCUAUCACAAGGAAUAGGACUAGAUAGAAAGUUUGGCUGGGGCGGCACACCUUCGAAAGAGCAGCGAAGGUGUCCUAAGUUGAGCUCAGUGAGGACAGAAAUCUCACGUUGAGGAUAAGGCCAAAAGCUCAAUUUACUGUGCCUUUUUGUACUAGGAUCAGUUACGAAAGUAAGGCCUAACGAUCCCUAAAUAGCCUCAGGUGCGUGAGGAUUGGGGUGACAGACAAGUUACCUCCGGGACAACUGGCUUGUGGCUGCUAAGAGAUCAAAUCAACGCAGCUUUUUGAUUCUUCGAUGUCGGCUCUUCCUAUCCUAGUGAUGUACAAGUUGCUAAGGGUCGGAUUGUUCACCCGUAUUAGGGAUCGUGAGCUGGGUUUAGACCGUCGUGAGCCAGGUUUGUUUUAUCCUACUGGAUAUAGCAUCAUGAUAGUAGAUUGAUUUAGUACGAGAGGAACUGUUGAUUAUGGCCUCUGGUUAGCGAUUAUCGGAAACGGUAUGUCGCGCAGCUACGCCGUCUGGGAUAAUGGCUGAAAGCCUCUUAAGCCAGAAGCCCAUCUAGAAAGUGAUGCACGUGAUGUUGGACCGAUACGAAUAAUCAUACUCAAA